RNAcentral lists this transfer RNA (73 nucleotides) under candidate division WOR-1 bacterium RIFOXYA2_FULL_41_14. RNAcentral's name for it is "tRNA-Ala". It matches the Rfam family "tRNA". From Rfam's summary of the family: Transfer RNA (tRNA) molecules are approximately 80 nucleotides in length. Their secondary structure includes four short double-helical elements and three loops (D, anti-codon, and T loops). Further hydrogen bonds mediate the characteristic L-shaped molecular structure. tRNAs have two regions of fundamental functional importance: the anti-codon, which is responsible for specific mRNA codon recognition, and the 3' end, to which the tRNAs corresponding amino acid is attached (by aminoacyl-tRNA synthetases). tRNAs cope with the degeneracy of the genetic code in two manners: having more than one tRNA (with a specific anti-codon) for a particular amino acid; and 'wobble' base-pairing, i.e. permitting non-standard base-pairing at the 3rd anti-codon position. The record is from RNAcentral. Lineage: Bacteria; Bacillati. RNAcentral also lists the same sequence under 3 other names.
GGGGCUGUAGCUCAGUUGGGAGAGCGCCGCGUUCGCAAUGCGGAGGCCGUCGGUUCGAUCCCGAUCAGCUCCA